RNAcentral lists this long non-coding RNA (278 nucleotides) under Panax ginseng (ginseng). RNAcentral describes it as "long non-coding RNA (PGIN_LNC014997)". The record is from RNAcentral. Lineage: Eukaryota; Viridiplantae; Streptophyta; Magnoliopsida; Apiales; Araliaceae.
UCAAUCAAUGAAGUUGAGAGUUCCAAUUAGAUAAGUAAAGAGUAAUUAACUUAUUCAUUAAUUUCAUAUUGAAGGGUAUAUGUGGAAAAUUUUUAUUAAAAAUUGCCAUCAACUAAUUUUCUUAAACUAUGUGUCAAAAGAAAUCAGCCUAUAACUAUAGGAUGGAGGGAGUAGUUAAUCAGUUGACUAAAAAUUUCAAAGUCUCUGAUUAAUAGUCUCAUAGUUCGGAAAAAAUUAAUAUAUAUAUAUUUAAAAUCAUUAGACUCGCAACUCAAAAG